GCGUGGAUGGCUCAGUCGGUUGAGCGUCUGACUUCGACUCAGAUCACGAUCUCACAGUCUGUGAGUUCAAGCCCUACGUCGAGCU
RNAcentral lists this transfer RNA (85 nucleotides) under Felis catus (domestic cat). It matches the Rfam family "tRNA". From Rfam's summary of the family: Transfer RNA (tRNA) molecules are approximately 80 nucleotides in length. Lineage: Eukaryota; Metazoa; Chordata; Mammalia; Carnivora; Felidae. The record is from Rfam by way of RNAcentral.